GAUGAACGCUGGCGGCGUGCUUAAUACAUGCAAGUCGAGCGAACAGACGCGGCUCUUGUUCCUCUCACGUUUGCCGCGCACGGGUGUGUCACAUGUGUAUCAUCUACCUAUCAGUCUGGGAUCUCCUCGGGACUCCGGAGCUAAUACCGGAUAAUCUAUUGAACCGUAUGGUUCAAUAGUGAAAGACGGUUUUGCUGUCACUUAUAGAUGGAUCCUGGCCGCAUUAGCUAGUUGGUAAGGUAACGGCUUAGCAAGGCAACGAUGCGUAGCCGACGUGUGAGAGUGAUCGGCCGCACUGGAGCGGAGACGGGGACAAGAGUCCUACGGUAGGGAGCAGAAGGGAACGUUCCGCAAUAGGCGAAAGCCUGGCGGAGCAACGCCGCGUGAGUGAUGAAGGUCUUCGGAGCGUGAAGCUCUGCUAUUAGGGAAGAACAAAUGUGUAAGUAACUAUGGACGUCGUGACGGUAACUGGUCAGAAAGCAACGGCUAACUACGUG
RNAcentral lists this ribosomal RNA (497 nucleotides) under uncultured bacterium. Its description in RNAcentral is "partial 16S ribosomal RNA". It matches the Rfam family "Bacterial small subunit ribosomal RNA", at positions 28 to 507 of the family's 1533-position model. The record is from RNAcentral.